Long non-coding RNA from Sardina pilchardus (European sardine), 939 nucleotides. RefSeq lists it as uncharacterized. The transcript has 5 exons. Lineage: Eukaryota; Metazoa; Chordata; Actinopteri; Clupeiformes; Clupeidae. The record is from RefSeq and is a predicted model, not a curated record.
CAGCUGGCAUCCUGACGUCAAUUUGACAUCAACAAGUAGUCAAGAUUUUGACCAACAUGUAUGACGUGCAUAAAUAUGCAUAAUUUCAUUAUAUUUUGUAAUGAUUUCCUUGUGGUUGUAAAGAGGCCCAACAAAGGUAUCAAUCUAACAUGUUUUUUCUGGUCCCUACAUCUCAGGUCUAUAUUAUUGACAUUAAAUCAACGUUGAUUUGAUGUCAGGAAAUAAGACGUCAAAUUGAUGUGAAAUUUAUGUCAAAACAACGUCUGUUAAAAUGUCUGAAAAGGUAUAUUAUUAGCCUACUCAUUGUAAAUCGACGCGAGUUUUUCAACAUCCUGACCCACACAGCAGAGGGUUCCAAAACGGACCCUCUGCGGCGGACUCCGUGCGGAUACGCACAUCGAAGCGCCCUUUCCAGUCCUAACGGCUCCUUCAGUUUUCAAAUUUCUCGUUGAUGAAGUGGAAGACGAAACAGCGGCGUCUGAAGGCUCACUGUCAUUCACAAGUGGCUCCAGUCUGGUUUGGGGGUUCUGCCAUCCAAGUAAAGUUAUUCACAAGUGGCUCCAGUCUGGUUUGGGGGUCUACGCUUUCUCAUCCUGUCCUGCCACCCAAGUGAAGUUAUUCACAAGUGGCUCCAGUCUGGUUUGGGGGUCUACGCUUUCUCAUCCUGUCCUGCCACCCAAGUGAAGUUAUUCACAAGUGGCUCCAGUCUGGUUUGGGGGUCUACGCUUUCUUAUCCUGUCCUGAGUGAUUCUUGACAUUGAAAUUAUAUCAAAAUUUGUCAAUAAAUGUUCAUACUUUUGUCAUUAAUGUUUGAUUUCGGAUUUAUGUUGAAUUGACAGCGAAGCUUGAUAUUGAAUGAUAGCAAAAUAGCAUUAAAACAUUGUCUUCCUAUGCAUCAACAUCAUGACAUCUUGACAUCAAAUAAAUGUUGAAUUGACA